CCUACGGGAGGCAGCAGUUAAGAAUAUUCCGCAAUGGACGAAAGUCUGACGGAGCGACGCCGCGUGGAUGAAGAAUGCCGAAAGGUUGUAAAAUCCUUUUAAGCCUGAGGAAUAAGCGCAGGAGGGAAUGCCUGAGCGGUGACAGUAGGGCUUGAAUAAGCACCGGCUAAUUACGUGCCAGCAGCCGCGGUAACACGUAAGGUGCGAGCGUUGUUCGGAAUUAUUGGGCGUAAAGGGCAUGUAGGCGGAAAUGCAAGCUUGAUGUGAAAUACCGGAGCUCAACUUCGGAAUUGCAUUGAGAACUGCGUAUCUUGAAUUACUGAAGGGUAACCGGAAUUCCACGUGUAGGGGUGAAAUCUGUAGAUAUGUGGAAGAACACCAAUGGCGAAGGCAGGUUACCGG
RNAcentral lists this ribosomal RNA (402 nucleotides) under uncultured Treponema sp. RNAcentral describes it as "bacterial SSU rRNA". It matches the Rfam family "Bacterial small subunit ribosomal RNA", at positions 338 to 732 of the family's 1533-position model. The record is from RNAcentral. Lineage: Bacteria; Pseudomonadati; Spirochaetota; Spirochaetia; Treponematales; Treponemataceae.